UUCCAGACUCCUACGGGAGGCAGCAGUGAGGAAUAUUGGUCAAUGGGCGGGAGCCUGAACCAGCCAAGUCGCGUGGGGGAAGACGGUCCUACGGAUUGUAAACCUCUUUUGCCGGGGAGCAACGGGGUCCUUGCGAGGGCCCAAUGAGAGUACCCGGAGAAAAAGCAUCGGCUAACUCCGUGCCAGCAGCCGCGGUAAUACGGAGGAUUCAAGCGUUAUCCGGAUUUAUUGGGUUUAAAGGGUGCGUAGGCGGUCGGAUAAGUUAGAGGUGAAAUCCCGAGGCUCAACUUCGGAAUUGCCUCUGAUACUGUUCGGCUAGAGAGUAGUUGCGGUAGGCGGAAUGUAUGGUGUAGCGGUGAAAUGCUUAGAGAUCAUACAGAACACCGAUUGCGAAGGCAGCUUACCAAGCUACUUCUGACGUCGAGGCACGAAAGCGUGGGGAGCAAACAGGAUUAGAUACCCCGGUAA
This 468-nucleotide ribosomal RNA is filed under the name uncultured bacterium. RNAcentral's name for it is "bacterial SSU rRNA". It matches the Rfam family "Bacterial small subunit ribosomal RNA", at positions 329 to 793 of the family's 1533-position model. The record is from RNAcentral.